Molecule: ribosomal RNA, 497 nt
Filed under: uncultured bacterium
Lineage: Bacteria
Description: partial 16S ribosomal RNA
Rfam family: Bacterial small subunit ribosomal RNA
Source: RNAcentral
GAUGAACGCUGGCGGCGUGCCUAAUACAUGCAAGUCGAGCGAACAGAUGAGGAGCUUGCUCCUCUGACGUUAGCGGCGGACGGGUGAGUAACACGUGGAUAACCUACCUAUAAGACUGGGAUAACUUCGGGAAACCGGAGCUAAUACCGGAUAAUAUAUUGAACCGCAUGGUUCAAUAGUGAAAGACGGUUUUGCUGUCACUUAUAGAUGGAUCCGCGCCGCAUUAGCUAGUUGGUAAGGUAACGGCUUACCAAGGCUACGAUGCGUAGCCGACCUGAGAGGGAGAUCGGCCACACGGGAACUGAGACACGGUCCAGACACCUACGGGAGGCAGCAGUAGGGAAUCUUCCGCAAAGGGCGAAAGCCUGACGGAGCAACGCCGCGGGAGUGAUGAAGGUCUUCGGAUCGUAAAACUCUGUUAUUAGGGAAGAACAAAUGUGUAAGUAACUAUGCACGUCUUGACGGUACCUAAUCAGAAAGCCACGGCUAACUACGUG